CCGUUUCUCUAUGCUCUGUCUUAGCGUGCUUUCCAGGUCUCCCUUUCUGGAAAUCAUGCCAUCCCUUAGAUAUAUUUGAGUUUUAUUCAAACUAGCAUAGCAUCUCAAAUAGCUCCUCAUAGCAAAGUCAUGCUCCCAGACAGGCGUGCACUGUUGACCACAAAAGCUGUCUCCAAAGCUCCUUUUGUCUAGAAGUCCAUCUCUCCUUUCCCAUGUGACAUUGUGCUCACUUAUUGCAUUAGCUAUUUGGCGUAGCAUUCCACUCCAGACUUCUUCUUUCUCCUCUUCCGGUUUCUUAUCUUUUGUUCGAGAGAGCCAUUCUCUUCUUGAUCUGCCUCAUGAAAUGGUCGAUCAAAUUCCUCCAAAGUUCCAGCAAUUCCUUUUGAUGUAAUUGCCUGCCUUGAAAUGAUCUUUGUACAUAUGCCAAAGCCAACCUUUAAUGUCCUCCCAGUGGAUUUAAUGCAAGGCAUUAAUACCACCACUUGAGAUUCUACUAUAACAUAAGGCUUUAGCAUCGAUGAGAUACCUGCAAAAAAGUAAACAAUGUUAGCUGAAAAAUUGCUAACCAAUCUCUCCUCAAGAAUGAUUCGAGUCCGAUAGCAAAUUGUAGCCUCUUUUCCUCCUAAUUGCUUGCAACCUUCACUCUUAUGUAAGGACAUUGCAUCUUGUCUUCUUAAUAAUCCUCCUUCCUUUUGAGUCCAUAUCCCAGAAGCCAUGACAUUCAAUAUUUCCUUCAUCUAGAGCAUAGUUGGCAAGGUGGUCUGCUAAUGUAUUCCCUUCUCUGAGUAUGUGUGUGACCUUGAUGAUACUUUAUUCCUUCAAUCUUAAAAUCUCCUCAACGUGAUCAGUAAUACGCCAAGGAGGUUUCCAUGAUUCCUCUAUAAUGUUCUUUAAUAGCAAGGAAUCUGUCUGCAGCCAUAUCUGAAAAUAAUUAAGAUUUUUGCACAUCUUCAAUGCCUCCACAAUAGCUACUGCUUCUGAUUCAUUAUUGGUUCCUUCAGAAAUCUCCCUUCCUUCUGCAUAUAUCAAAUCACCUACCUCAUCCCUUAUGCAAAAACCAAUUGAACUCCUCUCUGGGUUCCUUCUAAUAACCAAUUGAAAUGCUCCAUCCGUAUUUACUUUGAUCCACCCUCUUGGAGGAAAUUCCCAUAACACAUUUUCAUAUUUCAAUCGAGGUGUGUAUUACUCCAUUAUUGUCAGUAAGUCCAGUCACUUGUGAGGCACAUGCAGUCCAGGCUUUUUUAGUUGGACUAGACCUUGCAGAGUAGAUGACACCUGGUAAAUAACUCUGCUCACUGACACUGCUUCUCCAUAUUUCAAACUGUUUCUUCUCUUCCAAAGUUCACAUACAAUGCAUGCAGGUAAAGCUUGUAAGACUGGCUUCAAUCUGGGAACAACUGGUGCUGUCCAACACUUUGUAAUUGCUUGUUGUAAAGAUAACCCUUCUAAUGCAAUUCCUGCUCUCCUCAGGAAGUAAUUCCAAACACUCCUAGCUGCAUUGGAUGUGAAGAACAAAUGUACUAAUGACUCCUCCUUAGGAUCAGCACAGCACCAACAUUUUGAUGGCAUGGAGUAUCCUAUUUUACGCAAGAAAUCAUCAAGUGGCAGUUCGGCUUUCCACACCUUCCACAGGAAGAAGGAUAUCUUGAAAGGUAAGGCUUUGACCCAUAUCAUCCUGUAGCCUAAUCUUGGGCUGUCUCUUCUUCGCAGGUAAUCCCAUGUGUGAGCACGUGAUUUUUGCCCUAUGUGAGAAUUACUCCCAAAAAUUCAAAAUAAAACAAUUUUCCUUUGUGUGCAAUUUUGAGAAUUUUCGUGGCAUUUUUGGAUAAUUAUUUGUAUUUGUCCGUGCAUGUUUAUUUGUUAAAUUAUUAAAAAAUACAAAAUAUGUCGCAUUUGCAUUUAGGAUUUGAUUCUACAAUUAGGAGUAAUUAAGUUUGUUUUACAAGAACAAAAAAUCAUAAAAAUAUUGUACGUUGCAUUUUUAGCAUUUAAUGUCCAAAUUGUGUGAUUUUAUCGUAAUU
Molecule: long non-coding RNA, 2021 nt
Filed under: Nicotiana tabacum (common tobacco)
Lineage: Eukaryota; Viridiplantae; Streptophyta; Magnoliopsida; Solanales; Solanaceae
Description: long non-coding RNA (NTAB_LNC006982)
Source: RNAcentral